AAUCUGCGAUAAGCGUCGGUAAGGUGAUAUGAACCGUUAUAACCGGCGAUUUCCGAAUGGGGAAACCCAGUGUGUUUCGACACACUAUCAUUAACUGAAUCCAUAGGUUAAUGAGGCGAACCGGGGGAACUGAAACAUCUAAGUACCCCGAGGAAAAGAAAUCAACCGAGAUUCCCCCAGUAGCGGCGAGCGAACGGGGAGCAGCCCAGAGCCUGAAUCAGUAUGUGUGUUAGUGGAAGCGUCUGGAAAGGCGCGCGAUACAGGGUGACAGCCCCGUACACAAAAAUGCACAUGCUGUGAGCUCGAUGAGUAGGGCGGGACACGUGGUAUCCUGUCUGAAUAUGGGGGGACCAUCCUCCAAGGCUAAAUACUCCUGACUGACCGAUAGUGAACCAGUACCGUGAGGGAAAGGCGAAAAGAACCCCGGCGAGGGGAGUGAAAAAGAACCUGAAACCGUGUACGUACAAGCAGUGGGAGCACGCUUAGGCGUGUGACUGCGUACCUUUUGUAUAAUGGGUCAGCGACUUAUAUUCUGUAGCAAGGUUAACCGAAUAGGGGAGCCGAAGGGAAACCGAGUCUUAACUGGGCGUUAAGUUGCAGGGUAUAGACCCGAAACCCGGUGAUCUAGCCAUGGGCAGGUUGAAGGUUGGGUAACACUAACUGGAGGACCGAACCGACUAAUGUUGAAAAAUUAGCGGAUGACUUGUGGCUGGGGGUGAAAGGCCAAUCAAACCGGGAGAUAGCUGGUUCUCCCCGAAAGCUAUUUAGGUAGCGCCUCGUGAAUUCAUCUCCGGGGGUAGAGCACUGUUUCGGCAAGGGGGUCAUCCCGACUUACCAACCCGAUGCAAACUGCGAAUACCGGAGAAUGUUAUCACGGGAGACACACGGCGGGUGCUAACGUCCGUCGUGAAGAGGGAAACAACCCAGACCGCCAGCUAAGGUCCCAAAGUCAUGGUUAAGUGGGAAACGAUGUGGGAAGGCCCAGACAGCCAGGAUGUUGGCUUAGAAGCAGCCAUCAUUUAAAGAAAGCGUAAUAGCUCACUGGUCGAGUCGGCCUGCGCGGAAGAUGUAACGGGGCUAAACCAUGCACCGAAGCUGCGGCAGCGACGCUGAUGCGUUGUUGGGUA
RNAcentral lists this ribosomal RNA (1127 nucleotides) under Escherichia coli. RNAcentral's name for it is "partial 23S ribosomal RNA". It matches the Rfam family "Bacterial large subunit ribosomal RNA", at positions 63 to 1230 of the family's 2925-position model. The record is from RNAcentral. Lineage: Bacteria; Pseudomonadati; Pseudomonadota; Gammaproteobacteria; Enterobacterales; Enterobacteriaceae.